RNAcentral lists this ribosomal RNA (468 nucleotides) under uncultured bacterium. RNAcentral describes it as "partial 16S ribosomal RNA". It matches the Rfam family "Bacterial small subunit ribosomal RNA", at positions 28 to 507 of the family's 1533-position model. The record is from RNAcentral.
GAUGAACGCUGGCGGCGUGCUUAACUCAUGCAAGUCGAACGGAAAGGCCAGUGCAUGCACUGGUACUCGAAUGGCGAACGAGUGAGUAACACGUGGGUGAUCUGCCCUGUACUUCGGGAUAAGCUUGGGAAACUGGGUCUAAUAACGGUUAGGACAACUCUUUGGAUUUUGUUGUGGAAAGCUUUUGCGGUAUGGGGUGAGCUCGCGGCCGAUCAGGUUGUCGGUGGGGUAAUGGCCUACCAAGGCGAGGACGGGUAGCCAGCCUGUGAGGGUGUACGGUACCAUUGGGACAGAGAGACUGCGCAGACUCCUACGGGAGGCAGCAGGGUGGAAUAUUGCACAAUGGGCGCAAGCCUGAUGCAGCGACGCCGCGUGGGGGAUGAAGGCAUUCGGGUUGUAAACUCCUUUCGCUAGGGACGAAGCCUUUUGGUCACGGUACCUUGAGAAGAAGCACCGGCUAACUACGUG